AACGAACGCUGGCGGCAUGCCUAACACAUGCAAGUCGAACGAGACCUUCGGGUCUAGUGGCGCACGGGUGCGUAACGCGUGGGAACCUGCCCUUAGGUUCGGAAUAACUCCCCGAAAGGGGUGCUAAUACCGGAUAAUGUCUUCGGUCCAAAGAUUUAUCGCCUUUGGAUGGGCCCGCGUUGUAUUAGCUAGUUGGUAGGGUAAAAGCCUACCAAGGCGACGAUCCAUAGCUGGUAUGAGAGGAUGAUCAGCCACACUGGGACUGGGACACGGCCCAGACUCCUACGGGAGGCAGCAGUGGGGAAUAUUGGACAAUGGGCGAAAGCCUGAUCCAGCAAUGCCGCGUGAGUGAUGAAGGCGUUAGGGUUGUAAAGCUCUUUUACCCGGGAUGAUAAGGACAGUACCGGGAGAAUAAGCUCCGGCUAACUCCGU
RNAcentral lists this ribosomal RNA (432 nucleotides) under uncultured bacterium. RNAcentral's name for it is "partial 16S ribosomal RNA". It matches the Rfam family "Bacterial small subunit ribosomal RNA", at positions 29 to 506 of the family's 1533-position model. The record is from RNAcentral.